RNAcentral lists this ribosomal RNA (465 nucleotides) under uncultured bacterium. RNAcentral describes it as "partial 16S ribosomal RNA". It matches the Rfam family "Bacterial small subunit ribosomal RNA", at positions 28 to 507 of the family's 1533-position model. The record is from RNAcentral.
GACGAACGCUGGCGGCGUGCUUAACACAUGCAAGUCGAACGGAAAGGCCCUGCUUGCAGGGUACUCGAGUGGCGAACGGGUGAGUAACACGUGGGUGAUCUGCCCUGCACUUCGGGAUAAGCUUGGGAAACUGGGUCUAAUACCGGAUAGGAACCAUCUUUAGUGUGGUGGUUGGAAAGUUUUUUCGGUGUAGGAUGAGCUCGCGGCCUAUCAGCUUGUUGGUGGGGUAAUGGCCUACCAAGGCGGCGACGGGUAGCCGGCCUGAGAGGGUGUACGGCCACAUUGGGACUGAGAUACGGCCCAGACUCCUACGGGAGGCAGCAGUGGGGAAUAUUGCACAAUGGGCGCAAGCCUGAUGCAGCGACGCCGCGUGGGGGAUGAAGGCCUUCGGGUUGUAAACUCCUUUCGCUAGGGACGAAGCUUUUUGUGACGGUACCUAGAUAAGAAGCACCGGCUAACUACGUG